CCUACGGGAGGCAGCAGUAGGGAAUCUUCCACAAUGGGCGAAAGCCUGAUGGAGCAACGCCGCGUGGGUGAAGAAGGUCUUCGGAACGUAAAACUCUGUUGUCAGAGAAGAAAGUGCGUGUGAGUAACUGUUAACGUUCCGACGGUAACUAACCAGCAAGCCACGGCUAACUACGUGCCAGCAGCCGAGGUAAUACGGAGGUGGCAAGCGUUAUCGGUGUUUAUUGGGAGUAAAGGGAGCGAAGGCGGGCGUUUAAGUCUGAUGUGAAAGCCUUCGGCUUAAGCGGGGUAGUGCAUUGGAAACUGGGGGACUUGAGUGCAGAAGAGGUGAGUGGAACUCCAUGUGUAGCGGUGAAAUGCGUAGAUAUAUGGAAGAACACCAGUGGCGAAGGCGGCUCUCUGGUCUGUAACUGACGCUGAGGUUCGAAAGCGUGGGUAGCAAACAGGAUUAGAUACCCCAGUAGUC
RNAcentral lists this ribosomal RNA (465 nucleotides) under uncultured bacterium. RNAcentral's name for it is "partial 16S ribosomal RNA". It matches the Rfam family "Bacterial small subunit ribosomal RNA", at positions 338 to 795 of the family's 1533-position model. The record is from RNAcentral.